AUCUGGCUGCAGCUUGUGGGAUGGACAUCGUUCUGGUUUCCUGCUCUGGUCAAUAGAAUCCCGAGGGCUCUGACUUAUAAAAUGCCCUGCGGAAAUACAGGAAGAAAGGAAGCAAUUGUUCCAUAGCCCGUACCAGCCACAGCAAAGGAAGGAGCAAGAAAACCUAAAGAGGACAGCCAUCUCUACUAAGAGCUUAGCAGGAUCUAAAAACCAAAGCUGGGAUUGGGCAGAGUGACAGAUAGAGUCUGAAAUGGCAGAAGAAUGAAAAACCCUACUGAAAAGCUGAACAUGGUACAUAUACUAUUUCAAGGCACUCAUUUGUACAAGCCUAGCUUUUUCUGUUGGAGGCAGAGGUAUGGGGUGAGGAGGGUGUCUCCCUUAAAAAAUAACAAGAUUGCCUUAUGGCUCACAAAACACAUGGGGUGACAUUAUAGGGGGAAAUAGUUUGUGAACUCAGAAACCCCAAAAAUAGGU
Long non-coding RNA from Mauremys mutica (yellowpond turtle), 474 nucleotides. RefSeq lists it as uncharacterized. The transcript has 3 exons. The record is from RefSeq and is a predicted model, not a curated record. Lineage: Eukaryota; Metazoa; Chordata; Testudines; Geoemydidae.